AUCAGUCCAUCCAGGGCUCAGCAAACUAAGGAGGCGGCUACCUCUACGAUUUGAUUAAAGUUGGAGAGAUUAUGAAGAAGUAUUGCUGACUUCUAGAUCUUUCCCUCCCUAUGGUUAUUUUGCCCAGAUUCCUGCUUGGGCCUCUAGCCUCCCUGCUAUAUUGCUGGACCACCUAGAAGGAUAAUGGCUGCCAUUUGCAACGAGCGUCAAAACAUGAAUUAACUUCUGCCAGGGGAUGGUAGAGGGGUAGGGAAGCAUCACAGGACAGGGCCCUGCGUACGCCAGAAGUGCUCAUGUGAUCGGAGAGCCUAAGUGCCGACUGAAAAGGGAAGUGAGUCGAUUUGGGGCCUCCCCCAUUCUCUGGCCCCAUUUUCCGCAACGGGGCUAGGAGCCGGGAUUCAGUCUGUGGAGCCUACCAACCCCAUCACUUAGUCCUCGCUACAAUGGGGUAUUCCCAUCCCCCACCUAAGGGUAAGGAACUGAGGCUGAGGGGGUUGGAUGACUUCUCCAAGGUCAUACAACUAGAGAGAGGCACAGCUCGGACUUGAACUGGGGUGGUCUGACAUCAGCCCUUGCUCUCCCGCCCACCGUGCUCGGGUGUCCUCGCCCUCCACGGCCAUCUCUUCACUUGACAAAGGGGGUUGCUGAGGCCCAGAGAGGCCAAGAAAGCUCCCCAAGGUCACACGGUCGAUUGGUUGUAGAGCGAGACUGGGGAACAGAAAAGAAUGGCUUUUUGCUGCAUGCUUGGGAGAAGCCUACAGGAGUAAGUGUGAGGGGUGGGGAGGAAAAUGGGAGCAGAACGAGGGGUGAGGGGUUCCACCUUGUGGAUGAGGAGCCCCGACAGGAGUGAGGGGGCUGAGGAGGAGAAUCUGGAGACCCCCAGGAGGCCUCAGCAUUGACGCAGCCCACCCUGGAGCCCAGCGACGGCGUGAAACGCAACUCACUUCUUCUGCUUCUUCUCGAGCUCGUGACUCCGGCUUUGCUGGUCCUCCAGCUGGAGGCGGGUGUCCUCCAGGUCACAGGUCAGAUGGUGGCACUUCCUCUUUAGCUGCUGUCAUUUCUGAGGUGAGCACAGUGGGAAAGAGAACAGGGACUGGGGUCGGAGAGACCCUGUCUUGACCACUUUCUGCCUGUUUCCCAGGGAGGAAGCUACUUCUCUGACCCCGUCUGCUCAAGAGGUGCCCCAUAGAGUCUUUACAAGCCCUGCCUCCAAAGGAAGACUGAGGGCUGUAUACCUAAUAACCCCAUCAGCCGGCAUCAUCCCAGAGCCCAUGUGGGGAUUAGCCAUGGAGCAGCCAAAAUGGUGGCCAUAGAAGAUCUGGCCAGGAGAUCUGAGAGAUGGGCUCUGAAGGUUAGAGCAGUAAAUGGCCCUUCCGACGGGCUGAAUUACACGGGGAUACACAUGACCGUGAACAAACAGAAAAGCAAAGCCUCUUGCAUCUUUUUCGAGGAACCCCCCCCCCCAGAUGUCCUCGUUUGAAUCUGGGAGAGAGGACAACUCAGCACACUCGCUUUGAAGAAAUGGCCUCAUUAAAGAAUUUCUUUAAAUAAGCAAAACUCUGAGUUAAUGAA
This is a long non-coding RNA of Acinonyx jubatus (cheetah), 1572 nucleotides long. RefSeq lists it as uncharacterized. The record is from RefSeq and is a predicted model, not a curated record. The transcript is spliced from 4 exons. Lineage: Eukaryota; Metazoa; Chordata; Mammalia; Carnivora; Felidae.